Molecule: transfer RNA, 69 nt
Filed under: Schistometopum thomense
Lineage: Eukaryota; Metazoa; Chordata; Amphibia; Gymnophiona; Dermophiidae
Description: tRNA-His
Rfam family: tRNA
About the family: Transfer RNA (tRNA) molecules are approximately 80 nucleotides in length. Their secondary structure includes four short double-helical elements and three loops (D, anti-codon, and T loops).
Source: RNAcentral
UGUAGAUAUAAUUUAACUAAAAUAUUAGAUUGUGAUUCUAAAAAUAAAGUGUAAAAUCUUUUACUUACC